RNAcentral lists this ribosomal RNA (480 nucleotides) under uncultured bacterium. RNAcentral's name for it is "partial 16S ribosomal RNA". It matches the Rfam family "Bacterial small subunit ribosomal RNA", at positions 29 to 507 of the family's 1533-position model. The record is from RNAcentral.
AUGAACGCUGGCGGCGUGCUUAACACAUGCAAGUCGAACGAAGCAUUUAGGACAGAUUACUUCGGUUUGAAGUUCUUUAUGACUGAGUGGCGGACGGGUGAGUAACGCGUGGGUAACCUGCCUUGUACUGGGGGAUAGCAGCUGGAAACGGCUGGUAAUACCGCAUAAGCGCACAAUGUUGCAUGACAUGGUGUGAAAAACUCCGGUGGUAUAAGAUGGACCCGCGUCUGAUUAGCUAGUUGGUGAGAUAACAGCCCACCAAGGCGACGAUCAGUAGCCGACCUGAGAGGGUGACCGGCCACAUUGGGACUGAGACACGGCCCAGACUCCUACGGGAGGCAGCAGUGGGGAAUAUUGCACAAUGGAGGAAACUCUGAUGCAGCGACGCCGCGUGAGUGAAGAAGUAAUUCGUUAUGUAAAGCUCUAUCAGCAGGGAAGAUAGUGACGGUACCUGACUAAGAAGCACCGGCUAAAUACGUG